This 83-nucleotide transfer RNA is filed under the name Gemmatimonadota bacterium. Its description in RNAcentral is "Gemmatimonadetes bacterium (sediment metagenome) tRNA-Leu". It matches the Rfam family "tRNA". From Rfam's summary of the family: Transfer RNA (tRNA) molecules are approximately 80 nucleotides in length. The record is from RNAcentral. RNAcentral also lists the same sequence under 1 other name. Lineage: Bacteria; Pseudomonadati; Gemmatimonadota.
GCGAAAGUGGCGGAACCGGUAGACGCGCCGGACUUAGGAUCCGGUGGCCUUGGGCCGUGGGGGUUCGAGUCCCCCCUUUCGCA